UGACCCGGUGGCGCCCGACGCCAAAGACCAAAGAACCGGGGAAAGAACCAAUCCCACCCCCACCGCCCCCGUCGCUCACUCGCCGGAGUGAAUAUGCCCAACGCAACUGGCGCGGACGGGUAGUUGUGGUGCAGCGUCGGCAGCGACAGCAAGUCCAGACAUGCAUCGGCCCUCGCCGGGACGGCAAUCCCAGUGCGAGGGCCUGAUCACCGAGGAAGGCAACAACUUCCCG
Small RNA from Streptomyces sp., 232 nucleotides. It matches the Rfam family "Streptomyces sRNA 4677". Rfam says of the family: Located in the intergenic region between anti-sigma factor SCO4677 gene and a putative regulatory protein gene SCO4676. scr4677 expression requires the SCO4677 activity and scr4677 sRNA itself seem to affect the levels of the SCO4676-associated transcripts. NCBI's taxonomy places the organism in Bacteria, Bacillati, Actinomycetota, Actinomycetes, Kitasatosporales, Streptomycetaceae. The record is from Rfam.